This 388-nucleotide ribosomal RNA is filed under the name uncultured bacterium. RNAcentral's name for it is "partial 16S ribosomal RNA". It matches the Rfam family "Bacterial small subunit ribosomal RNA", at positions 338 to 723 of the family's 1533-position model. The record is from RNAcentral.
CCUACGGGUGGCAGCCGUGAGGAAUAUUGGUCAAUGGCCGUAAGGCUGAACCAGCCAAGUAGCGUGAGGGAAGACUGCCCUAUGGGUUGUAAACCUCUUUUAUGAGGGGCUCAAGGUGUCCACGUGUGGAUGUUUGCAGGUACCGCAUGAAUAAGGACCGGCCAAUUCCGUGCCAGCAGCCGCGGUCAUACGGAAGGUGCGGGCGUGAUCCGGAUUUAUUGGGUUUAAAGGGAGCGUAGGCCGGUGUUUAAGCGGGCCGUGAAGGUUUGUGGCUCAACCAUGAGAGUGCGGCGCGAACUGGAGACCAUGAGUGAGCGGAGGGCAAGCCGAAGUCGUGGUGUAGCAGGGAAAUGCUUAGAUAUCACGAAGAACCCCGAUGGCGGAGGAA